AUUGAACGCUGGCGGCAUGCCUUACACAUGCAAGUCGAACGGUAACAGGGAGCUUGCUCCGCUGACGAGUGGCGAACGGGUGAGUAAUAUAUCGGAACGUACCUUUGAGUGGGGGAUAACUAGUCGAAAGAUUAGCUAAUACCGCAUACGAUCUACGGAUGAAAGUGGGGGCUCGCAAGACCUCAUGCUCAUAGAGCGGCCGAUAUCUGAUUAGCUAGUUGGUGAGGUAAAGGCUCACCAAGGCAUCGAUCAGUAGCUGGUCUGAGAGGACGACCAGCCACACUGGGACUGAGACACGGCCCAGACUCCUACGGGAGGCAGCAGUGGGGAAUUUUGGACAAUGGGGGCAACCCUGAUCCAGCAAUGCCGCGUGAGUGAAGAAGGCCUUCGGGUUGUAAAGCUCUUUUGUCAGGGAAGAAACGGUGAGAGCUAAUAUCUCUUGCUAAUGACGGUACCUGAAGAAUAAGCACCSGCUAACUAC
Molecule: ribosomal RNA, 481 nt
Filed under: Collimonas arenae
Lineage: Bacteria; Pseudomonadati; Pseudomonadota; Betaproteobacteria; Burkholderiales; Oxalobacteraceae
Description: bacterial SSU rRNA
Rfam family: Bacterial small subunit ribosomal RNA
Source: RNAcentral